Molecule: long non-coding RNA, 265 nt
Filed under: Homo sapiens (human)
Lineage: Eukaryota; Metazoa; Chordata; Mammalia; Primates; Hominidae
Description: non-protein coding lnc-PRKD1-18:1
Source: RNAcentral
CAAUAAUGGACCACAUAUAUGACAGUGAUCCCCUAGAUUAAAAUGGAGCUAAAAAAUUUCUAUUACCUGAUGACUUGUGUUAGUUGCUUUUAAUAUUCAGUGCAAGAACAUGCUGCACAGGUUUGUAUCCUAGGGGCAGUAGGUUCUACUGUACAACCUAGGUGUGUAGUAGUCUAUACUGUUUUGGUUUGUGUAAGUGCUGUACACUCUGUGGUGCUCACACAAUGACAAAACUGUCUAACAGUGCAUUUCUCAGAAUGUAUCC